Molecule: ribosomal RNA, 563 nt
Filed under: uncultured bacterium
Lineage: Bacteria
Description: partial 16S ribosomal RNA
Rfam family: Bacterial small subunit ribosomal RNA
Source: RNAcentral
UAGGGAAUCUUGCGCAAUGGGCGAAAGCCUGACGCAGCCAUGCCGCGUGAAUGAUGAAGGUCUUAGGAUUGUAAAAUUCUUUCACCGGGGAAGAUAAUGACGGUACCCGGAGAAGAAGCCCCGGCUAACUUCGUGCCAGCAGCCGCGGUAAUACGAAGGGGGCUAGCGUUGCUCGGAAUUACUGGGCGUAAAGGGCGCGUAGGCGGAUAUUUAAGUUGGGGGUGAAAGCCCGGGGCUCAACCUCGGAAUAGCCUUCAAUACUGGAUAUCUUGAGUUCGGGAGAGGUGAGUGGAAUGCCGAGUGUAGAGGUGAAAUUCGUAGAUAUUCGGCGGAACACCAGUGGCGAAGGCGACUCACUGGCCCGAUACUGACGCUGAGGCGCGAAAGCGUGGGGAGCAAACAGGAUUAGAUACCCUGGUAGUCCACGCCGUAAACGAUGAGUGCUAGUUGUCGGCAUGCAUGCAUGUCGGUGACGCAGCUAACGCAUUAAGCACUCCGCCUGGGGAGUACGGUCGCAAGAUUAAAAACUCAAAUGAAUUGACGGGGGUCAUAGCUGUUUCCUG